RNAcentral lists this ribosomal RNA (465 nucleotides) under uncultured bacterium. RNAcentral's name for it is "partial 16S ribosomal RNA". It matches the Rfam family "Bacterial small subunit ribosomal RNA", at positions 338 to 795 of the family's 1533-position model. The record is from RNAcentral.
ACUACGGGUGGCAGCAGUGGGGAAUAUUGCGCAAUGGGCGAAAGCCUGACGCAGCGACGCCGCGUGUGGGAUGAAGGUCUUCGGAUCGUAAACCUCUGUCAGCAGGGAAGAACGGUCACUGUGCUAAUCAGCAGUGAAUUGACGGUACCUGCAAAGGAAGCACCGGCUAACUCCGUGCCAGCAGCCGCGGUAAUACGGAGGGUGCGAGCGUUAAUCGGAAUUACUGGGCGUAAAGCGCUCGUAGGCGGUAUGUCAAGUCAAGUGUGAAAUCCCCGGGCUCAACGUGGGAACUGCCUUUGAAACUGGCAGACUAGAGGGUGUGAGAGGAGAGUGGAAGUCCAGGUGUAGGAGUGAAAUCCGUAGAGAUCUGGAGGAACAUCAGUGGCGAAGGCGACCAUCUGGCACAGGACUGACGCUGAGGAGCGAAAGCGUGGGUAGCAAACAGGAUUAGAUACCCUUGUAGUC